CAUGCAGUCGAGCGGCAGCGAGUCCUUCGGGAUGCCGGCGAGCGGCGGACGGGUGAGGAAUGCGUCGGAAUCUGCCUUUUUGUGGGGGAUAACGUAGGGAAACUUACGCUAAUACCGCAUACGUCCUACGGGAGAAAGUGGGGGACCGCAAGGCCUCACGCAGAAAGAUGAGCCGACGCCGGAUUAGCUAGUUGGCGGGGUAAAGGCCCACCAAGGCGACGAUCCGUAGCUGGUCUGAGAGGAUGAUCAGCCACACUGGAACUGAGACACGGUCCAGACUCCUACGGGAGGCAGCAGUGGGGAAUAUUGGACAAUGGGCGCAAGCCUGAUCCAGCCAUGCCGCGUGAGUGAAGAAGGCCUUCGGGUUGUAAAGCUCUUUUGUUGGGGAAGAAAAGCAUCCGAUUAAUACCCGGGUGUUCUGACGGUACCCAAAGAAUAAGCACCGGCUAACUUCGUGCCAGCAGCCGCGGUAAUACGAAGGGUGCAAGCGUUACUCGGAAUUACUGGGCGUAAAGCGUGCGUAGGUGGAUCGUUAAGUCUGAUGUGAAAGCCCUGGGCUCAACCUGGGAACUGCAUUGGAUACUGGCGAUCUGGAGUGCGGUAGAGGGUGGCGGAAUUCCCGGUGUAGCAGUGAAAUGCGUAGAUAUCGGGAGGAACAUCCGUGGCGAAGCGGCCACCUGGACCAGCACUGACACUGAGCACGAAAGCGUGGGGAGCAAACAGAUAGAUACCCUGUAG
This 738-nucleotide ribosomal RNA is filed under the name uncultured bacterium. RNAcentral's name for it is "bacterial SSU rRNA". It matches the Rfam family "Bacterial small subunit ribosomal RNA", at positions 54 to 793 of the family's 1533-position model. The record is from RNAcentral.